RNAcentral lists this transfer RNA (77 nucleotides) under Thermomonospora curvata DSM 43183. Its description in RNAcentral is "tRNA-Arg". It matches the Rfam family "tRNA". From Rfam's summary of the family: Transfer RNA (tRNA) molecules are approximately 80 nucleotides in length. Their secondary structure includes four short double-helical elements and three loops (D, anti-codon, and T loops). The record is from RNAcentral. RNAcentral also lists the same sequence under 1 other name. Lineage: Bacteria; Bacillati; Actinomycetota; Actinomycetes; Streptosporangiales; Thermomonosporaceae.
GCGCCCGUAGCUCAGCUGGAUAGAGCACCGGACUUCUAAUCCGACGGUCGCAGGUUCGAAUCCUGCCGGGCGCGCCG